AAGUAAAAGUCGUAACAAGGUUUCCGUAGGUGAACCUGCGGAAGGAUCAUUACUGAGUGUUUAGGGUCUCCGGGCCCGACCUCCAACCCCCUGUGUACCUGUCCACGUUGCUUCGGCGGGGCCGGACGCUCCCCCUUCACCGGGGGCAGCGAACGCCCGUCGAGGAUCAUUUCAAACUCUGGUAUGUACCGUGCCGUCUGAGUAUUCUAGCGAAUCUAAAAAAGCAAAACUUUCAACAACGGAUCUCUUGGUUCUGGCAUCGAUGAAGAACGCAGCGAAAUGCGAUAAGUAAUGUGAAUUGCAGAAUUCAGUGAAUCAUCGAAUCUUUGAACGCACAUUGCGCCCCCUGGUAUUCCGGGGGGCAUGCCUGUUCGAGCGUCAUUAACACCCCUCAAGCCCGGCUUGCAGUUGGGCGUCGUCUCCCCAUCAUCCGGGUGGGACGUGCCUGAAAAACAGUGACGGCGGCGUUCGGUCCCCAGCGUAGUACGAUCUCUCGCAUCAUCGCUUCCGGGUCGGACGUGUGCCGGUCAAAACCCCUUUAAAUUUUCAAAAGGUUGACCUCGGAUCAGGUAGGAAUACCCGCUGAACUUAAGCAUA
RNAcentral lists this ribosomal RNA (597 nucleotides) under Mycocalicium sp. Tuovila 09-131 (TUR). RNAcentral describes it as "eukaryotic LSU rRNA". The stretch from base 228 to 381 matches the Rfam family "5.8S ribosomal RNA". The record is from RNAcentral. Lineage: Eukaryota; Fungi; Ascomycota; Eurotiomycetes; Mycocaliciales; Mycocaliciaceae.